AAUACGUUCCCGGACCUUGCACACACUGCCCGUCAAGCCAUGGAAGCUGGGUGUACCUAAAGUCGGUAACCGCAAGGAGCCGCCUAGGGUAAAACUAGUAACUGGGGCU
This 109-nucleotide ribosomal RNA is filed under the name uncultured bacterium. RNAcentral describes it as "partial 16S ribosomal RNA". It matches the Rfam family "Bacterial small subunit ribosomal RNA", at positions 1365 to 1482 of the family's 1533-position model. The record is from RNAcentral.